Molecule: small nucleolar RNA, 133 nt
Organism: Ailuropoda melanoleuca (giant panda)
Lineage: Eukaryota; Metazoa; Chordata; Mammalia; Carnivora; Ursidae
Gene: SNORA70
Rfam family: Small nucleolar RNA SNORA70
About the family: snoRNA U70 seems to be exclusive to mammals and is a member of the H/ACA class of snoRNA which contain H (ANANNA) and ACA box motifs. H/ACA box snoRNAs are involved in the conversion of uridines to pseudouridines (5-ribosyluracil) a constituent of structural RNAs (transfer, ribosomal, small nuclear, and small nucleolar).
Source: Ensembl
CUGCAGCCAGUGAAGCCAGCUGUGCUCUUUCCCCAUGGGCCCUGGUGUGCCAUGGCUGCAAGCAGUAGCUUCCUUGGUAGUAUAUGAAGCCUGUUGCUUGUAGGGGUUGCCCUAAGGGACCUUGGAGACAGAC